ACACGACUACAUUAGAUACCCGGUGUAGUCCUAGCCGUAAACGAUGCGGACUGGGUGUUGGGAUGGCUUUGAGCUGUUCCGGUGCCGAAGGGAAGCUGUUAAGUCCGCCGCCUGGGAAGUACGGUCGCAAGACUGAAACUUAAAGGAAUUGGCGGGGAGCACCACAACGCGUGGAGCCUGCGGUUUAAUUGGAUUCAACGCCGGAGAUCUCACCAGGGGCGACAGCAGUAUGAUGGCCAGGUUGAUGGCCUUGCUUGACAAGCUG
This 265-nucleotide ribosomal RNA is filed under the name uncultured archaeon. RNAcentral describes it as "partial 16S ribosomal RNA". It matches the Rfam family "Archaeal small subunit ribosomal RNA", at positions 719 to 982 of the family's 1478-position model. The record is from RNAcentral.